This 406-nucleotide ribosomal RNA is filed under the name uncultured bacterium. RNAcentral's name for it is "partial 16S ribosomal RNA". It matches the Rfam family "Bacterial small subunit ribosomal RNA", at positions 29 to 526 of the family's 1533-position model. The record is from RNAcentral.
AUUGAACGCUGGCGGCAGGCCUAACACAUGCAAGUCGAACGAGUGGCGGACGGGUGAGUAAUGUCUGGGAAACUGCCUGAUGGAGGGGGAUAACUACUGGAAACGGUACCUAAUACCGCAUACCAUCAGAUGUGCCCAGAUGGGAUUAGCUAGUUGGUGGGGUAACGGCUCACCAAGGCGACGAGCCCUAGCUGGUCUGAGAGGAUGACGUGGCAAGCGGGAACUGAGACACGGUCCGGACUCCUAGGGGAGGCAGCAGUGGAGAAUAGUGCGCAAUGGGAGCAAGCCUGAUGCAGCCAUGCGGCGUGUAUGAAGAAGGCCUUAGGGGUGUAAGGGACUUUCAGCGGGGAGGCGUUACCCGCAGAAGAAGCACCGGCUAACUCCGUGCCAGCCGCCGCGGUAAUUC